UAGUGCUUAAGAUGUUGAGGAACAACCUGUUACCAUCCCGAACACAGAAGUUAAACUCAACGAUGCCGAAGAUACUUUACUAGUGAUGGUACUGGAAAAUAGGAAGGUGCUAAUUU
This 116-nucleotide ribosomal RNA is filed under the name Candidatus Paraimprobicoccus trichonymphae. The record is from RNAcentral. Lineage: Bacteria; Bacillati; Bacillota; Clostridia.